GAUGAACGCUGGCGGCGUGCCUAAUACAUGCAAGUCGAGCGAACGGACGAGAAGCUUGCUUCUCUGAUGUUAGCGGCGGACGGGUGAGUAACACGUGGAUAACCUACCUAUAAGACUGGGAUAACUUCGGGAAACCGGAGCUAAUACCGGAUAAUAUUUUGAACCGCAUGGUUCAAAAGUGAAAGACGGUCUUGCUGUCACUUAUAGAUGGAUCCGCGCUGCAUUAGCUAGUUGGUAAGGUAACGGCUUACCAAGGCAACGAUGCAUAGCCGACCUGAGCGGGUGGUCGGCCACACUGGAACUGAGACACGGUCCAGACUCCUACGGGAGGCAGCGGUAGGGAAUCUUCCGCGAUGGGCGAAAGCCUGACGGAGCAACGCCGCGUGAGUGAUGAAGGUCUUCGGAUCGGAAAACUCUGUUAGUAGGGAAGAACAUAUGUGUAAGUAACUGUGCACAUCUUGACGGUACCUAGUCAGAAAGCCACGGCUAACUACGUG
This 497-nucleotide ribosomal RNA is filed under the name uncultured bacterium. RNAcentral's name for it is "partial 16S ribosomal RNA". It matches the Rfam family "Bacterial small subunit ribosomal RNA", at positions 28 to 507 of the family's 1533-position model. The record is from RNAcentral.